GUUUUUCUUUUUUUCUUUUUGAUUUUAUGUGCCCUACAGCAUUUUCAAAAUUAUGGCUCAACGUCCGACCAAAUGUUGUCAUUGUGCUGUGUAGAUAAGGUUAUGUACGAGCUCCACAUAGCCCUCUGCUUUAAUUUUUUCUCAAUAGUUAGGGAUUUUAAUUUUAGGGUUAUUAUUUGGUUGGUGUUGGAUCGUGCUGUGUCGAGCGAGAAAGAGAGCUUGAGCUGGCCGCUUUGCUUAGGGCUUGCCCAUCUCCAUCAACAUACAUAUAAUGAUAAAAAUGUUCCACCCCCACCAAUUAU
Molecule: long non-coding RNA, 302 nt
Filed under: Citrus sinensis (sweet orange)
Lineage: Eukaryota; Viridiplantae; Streptophyta; Magnoliopsida; Sapindales; Rutaceae
Description: long non-coding RNA (CSIN_LNC000727)
Source: RNAcentral